Molecule: ribosomal RNA, 264 nt
Filed under: uncultured Sphingobacteriales bacterium
Lineage: Bacteria; Pseudomonadati; Bacteroidota; Sphingobacteriia; Sphingobacteriales
Description: partial 16S ribosomal RNA
Rfam family: Bacterial small subunit ribosomal RNA
Source: RNAcentral
CCAUCAGGUAAUGCUGGGGACUCUAAAGGAACUGCCUACGCAAGUAGUGAGGAAGGCGGGGAUGACGUCAAUCAGCACGGCCCUUACGUCCAGGGCUACACACGUGCUACAAUGGCCGAUACAGAGGGCAGCUACCUGGUGACAGGAUGCAAAUCUCCAAAGUCGGUCUCAGUUCGGAUCGGAGCCUGCAACCCGACUCCGUGAAGUUGGAUUCGCUAGUAAUCGCGCAUCAGCCAUGGCGCGGUGAAUACGUUCCCGGGCCUU